This 346-nucleotide ribosomal RNA is filed under the name uncultured bacterium. RNAcentral's name for it is "bacterial SSU rRNA". It matches the Rfam family "Bacterial small subunit ribosomal RNA", at positions 29 to 395 of the family's 1533-position model. The record is from RNAcentral.
AGCGAACGCUAGCGGGUGGCUUAACACAUGCAAGUCGAGCGGGGUCUUCGGGCCCAGCGGCGAACGGGUGAGUAACACGUAGGAUAUCUGCCUUUUGGUGGGCAUAGCCGGGGGAAACCUCGAUUAAUACCGCAUAUGGCCUAUGGGUCAAAGCCUUCGGGCGCCAAGAGAGGAGCCUGCGGCCCAUUAUUUAAUCCUAGUUGGUGGGGUAAUGGCCUACCAAGGGUACGAUGGGUAGCUGGUCUGAGAGGACGAUCAGCCACACUGGAACUGAGACACGGUCCAGACUCCACGGGAGGCAGCAGUGGGGAAUAUUGCGCAAUGGGCGAAGCCCUGACGCAGCCAA